AUGCAGUCGAACGCUGAAGCACCAGCUUGCUGGUGUGGAUGAGUGGCGAACGGGUGAGUAAUACGUGAGUAACCUGCCCUUGACUCUGGGAUAAGCCCGGGAAACUGGGUCUAAUACUGGAUGCUACAUGUCACCGCAUGGUGGUGUGUGGAAAGGGUUUACUGGUCUUGGAUGGGCUCACGGCCUAUCAGCUUGUUGGUGAGGUAAUGGCUCACCAAGGCGACGACGGGUAGCCGGCCUGAGAGGGUGACCGGCCACACUGGGACUGAGACACGGCCCAGACUCCUACGGGAGGCAGCAGUGGGGAAUAUUGCACAAUGGGCGAAAGCCUGAUGCAGCGACGCCGCGUGAGGGAUGACGGCCUUCGGGUUGUAAACCUCUUUCAGCAGGGAAGAAGCCACAAGUGACGGUACCUGCAGAAGAAGCGCCGGCUAACUACGUGCCAGCAGCCGCGGUAAUACGUAGGGCGCAAGCGUUGUCCGGAAUUAUUGGGCGUAAAGAGCUCGUAGGCGGUUUGUCGCGUCUGCUGUGAAAGCCCGGGGCUUAACCCCGGGUGUGCAGUGGGUACGGGCAGACUAGAGUGCAGUAGGGGAGACUGGAAUUCCUGGUGUAGCGGUGGAAUGCGCAGAUAUCAGGAGGAACACCGAUGGCGAAGGCAGGUCUCUGGGCUGUUACUGACGCUGAGGAGCGAAAGCAUGGGGAGCGAACAGGAUUAGAUACCCUGGUAGUCCAUGCCGUAAACGUUGGGCACUAGGUGUGGGGGACAUUCCACGUGUUCCGCGCCGUAGCUAACGCAUUAAGUGCCCCGCCUGGGGAGUACGGCCGCAAGGCUAAAACUCAAAGGAAUUGACGGGGGCCCGCACAAGCGGCGGAGCAUGCGGAUUAAUUCGAUGCAACGCGAAGAACCUUACCAAGGCUUGACAUAUACCGGAUCGUUCCAGAGAUGGUUCUUCCCCUUUGGGGUCGGUAUACAGGUGGUGCAUGGUUGUCGUCAGCUCGUGUCGUGAGAUGUUGGGUUAAGUCCCGCAACGAGCGCAACCCUCGUUCCAUGUUGCCAGCACGUGAUGGUGGGGACUCAU
This 1079-nucleotide ribosomal RNA is filed under the name Kocuria sp. RNAcentral describes it as "bacterial SSU rRNA". It matches the Rfam family "Bacterial small subunit ribosomal RNA", at positions 55 to 1142 of the family's 1533-position model. Lineage: Bacteria; Bacillati; Actinomycetota; Actinomycetes; Micrococcales; Micrococcaceae. The record is from RNAcentral.